This 397-nucleotide ribosomal RNA is filed under the name uncultured bacterium. RNAcentral describes it as "partial 16S ribosomal RNA". It matches the Rfam family "Bacterial small subunit ribosomal RNA", at positions 523 to 918 of the family's 1533-position model. The record is from RNAcentral.
AUACGUAGGGGGCAAGCGUUAUCCGGAUUUACUGGGUGUAAAGGGAGCGUAGACGGCGAUGCAAGUCUGAAGUGAAAGCCCGGGGCUCAACCCCGCGGACUGCUUUGGAAACUGUGUUGCUGGAGUGCAGGAGAGGUGAGUGGAAUUCCUAGUGUAGCGGUGAAAUGCGUAGAUAUUAGGAGGAACACCAGUGGCGAAGGCGACUCUCGGGACUGUAACUGACGUUGAGGCGCGAAAGCGUGGGGAGCAAACAGGAGUAGAUCCCCUGGUAGUCCACGCCGUAAACGAGGAAUGCUAGGUGUCGGGGGGCAAAGCCCUGCGGUGCCGCCGCUAACGCAUUAAGCAUUCCACCUGGGGAGUACGUUCGCAAGAAUGAAACUCAAAGGAAUUGACGGGG